RNAcentral lists this ribosomal RNA (301 nucleotides) under uncultured bacterium. RNAcentral describes it as "partial 16S ribosomal RNA". It matches the Rfam family "Bacterial small subunit ribosomal RNA", at positions 509 to 809 of the family's 1533-position model. The record is from RNAcentral.
CAGCCGCCACGGGAAUACGAAGGGUGCAAGCGCUAAUCGGAAUUACUGGGCGUAAAGCGUGCGUAGGCGGUGAGUUAAGUCUGCUGUGAAAUCCCCGGGCUCAACCUGGGAAUGGCAGUGGAUACUGGCUCGCUAGAGUGUGUCAGAGGAUGGUGGAAUUCCCGGUGUAGCGGUGAAAUGCGUAGAGAUCGGGAGGAACAUCAGUGGCGAAGGCGGCCAUCUGGGACAACACUGACGCUGAGGCACGAAAGCGUGGGGAGCAAACAGGAUUAGAUACCCGCGUAGUCCCUGUCUCUUAUCA